RNAcentral lists this ribosomal RNA (537 nucleotides) under Salmonella enterica subsp. enterica. RNAcentral describes it as "bacterial SSU rRNA". It matches the Rfam family "Bacterial small subunit ribosomal RNA", at positions 115 to 648 of the family's 1533-position model. The record is from RNAcentral. Lineage: Bacteria; Pseudomonadati; Pseudomonadota; Gammaproteobacteria; Enterobacterales; Enterobacteriaceae.
GUCUGGGAAACUGCCUGAUGGAGGGGGAUAACUACUGGAAACGGUGGCUAAUACCGCAUAACGUCGCAAGACCAAAGAGGGGGACCUUCGGGCCUCUUGCCAUCAGAUGUGCCCAGAUGGGAUUAGCUAGUUGGUGAGGUAACGGCUCACCAAGGCGACGAUCCCUAGCUGGUCUGAGAGGAUGACCAGCCACACUGGAACUGAGACACGGUCCAGACUCCUACGGGAGGCAGCAGUGGGGAAUAUUGCACAAUGGGCGCAAGCCUGAUGCAGCCAUGCCGCGUGUAUGAAGAAGGCCUUCGGGUUGUAAAGUACUUUCAGCGGGGAGGAAGGUGUUGUGGUUAAUAACCGCAGCAAUUGACGUUACCCGCAGAAGAAGCACCGGCUAACUCCGUGCCAGCAGCCGCGGUAAUACGGAGGGUGCAAGCGUUAAUCGGAAUUACUGGGCGUAAAGCGCACGCAGGCGGUCUGUCAAGUCGGAUGUGAAAUCCCCGGGCUCAACCUGGGAACUGCAUUCGAAACUGGCAGGCUUGAGUC